This is a long non-coding RNA of Bos taurus (domestic cattle), 716 nucleotides long. Lineage: Eukaryota; Metazoa; Chordata; Mammalia; Artiodactyla; Bovidae. The record is from Ensembl.
CCCACUUUCUCUUUUCCUGUCCAUUGGUUGGAAGCAAAAAGCCCUACAGGAUGGUGGAGGCAUAAGAUGGGAGCCCCUGAAUCACCAUCUGGACCCCUAAGUGGACUUUAUUUGACCUAUGCACACAUUUCUGUUCUACAGAGCCACUGAGAUUGUAGGGUCUGUUACAGUUAGACUGAGCAAUGGGCAGACCAGUUAGGAGAAAGAACCAGCAGGACUUGGUGAUGGAUUGGAUGAGCAAGAAGGAGGUCAAGAAUAACUUCUGUUUUGGCUUGAGCAAUUGUGCAGAGGAAGUUAAUGUUUCCCGAGCUGGGGAAGAUGAGAAAGCAAGCUGAACAACCACCCACUCUCUGCUCUGCGCUCCUCUACUCGUUGAAGAAGAGUCCCUUUGAGCUCAGAAAAAGUUGAGAAUCUAGCUAUUCAAAGGCUGAAUGAAGUAUUGAAGAGAAUCAGAGAGUCAAGAGGAUGCAGAGUCCCGUGUCCACACAAGCUUCACCCUACCAUCCAAUCCAUUUUUCUUACUGCAAGAAGAGUGACAUCAUCCUGUCGCCCACUAACUUCAUCAGUGGCCUUCCACUGCCCUCAAGACAGAAUGAACUGCUAACUCCUAUCAAGUGCAUCUUCUGCCCAAUCCUUCCCUGGCUCUCCCCGCCGCACCCACUGACCUAGACUCCAGCCAAACACAGAGACUCACAGUUGUUAGCAGGGGCUCACCC